AUCAUCCCCAUUCAUCCAGGAAUCAAGUCCAUGGAGAUCGACGCCGAGAAGUGCACGCUGACGGUGGUCGGGACGGUCGACCCGGUGCGCAUGGUGCAGAGGCUCAAGAAGAAGUGCUUCGAGGCGACCAUCGUGAGCGUGGAGGACGACAAGCCCAAGGAGAAGAAGGACCCCUGCAAGGAGGCGUGCGAGAAGCUGUGCAAGGAGAAGUGCGACAAGAUCACCUGCUGCAAGGAGUGUAAGGACAAGUGCGAGAAGGAGUGCAAGGACAAGUGCGAGAAGGCCUGCGAGGCGUGGCUCGGCAAGGGCUGCUGCUCCUGCAGCCGCUGCAAGCCCAGCCCGGCCGGCUGCUACUACGACCCCUGCGCCGUGCGUAGCUACCCCUACGGCUACUACUACAACGGGUGCCCCAGCGGGUACCCCCCCUACUACGGCUGCUACGAAGAGAGGUCACAUGAAGGAGCGUGCACCAUCCAGUAGUGUUUUGUUCAGCAUGCAACUACUGCAUUCCAAAUGUGCGUGGAGUUGUCUUCCUACGGCACGUUUGUAUGGUUAUAAGAUCUCAACAUGUAUCUUUAGUUUGUGUUAUAAUUGUGUUUUUCAUUGAACUCCUACUAUAUAUAUAUGCAAAGAUGCUUGAGAUUUUGGAUGGCUUUCUCUCACUAAACGAAAGAUUUUAGAAAAGGAAAAUUUUAUUCUAGCCUCUGCAAGACUGUUGUACCCAAUCGUGUUGUUGUGGCUUUGUUUUAUAUAUAUAUAUAUAUAUAUAUAUAUAUAUAUAUAUAUAUAUAUAUAUAUAUAUAUAUAUGUGUGUGUGUGUGUGUGUGUGUGUGUGUGUGUGUGUGUGUGUGUGUGUGUGUGUGUGUGUGUGUGUGUGUGUGUGUGUGUGUGUGUGUGUGUGUGUGUGUGUGUGUGUGUGUGUGUCCUCUUUUUAUCUCUAAGGGUCUAUUUGGAUCUCAUGAAUUGAAACCAAUAUCUAGAGUCUAUUUUAUUAUUAGAUUAUUUUCAAAUUCCUCAUAAUUUAUGGGAACCAAACAAGGCCUAAAGAUAAUGGAUCACCAAAUUUGGCUCUGAUUGGUGUAGGAAGAUGAAUUGUACCGGUCGCGGAGAAUGGCUCAAACAUGCAUGUUAGCCAACGUUUCUUAUUUACUACUGGUUAAUUUAAAAAUUUGCUGAUUUUAUUAUCACGAAGAGAUGUAGCAAAAUUGACGAUAACACCACAAAUGCAUACAGGGAACAUAUGGUGGAUAUGUGCCCCUGUGUGAGUGAUGAGUGGGUUGUCAAGUGAGAUCGAAGCUUUGGUUAAGUGCACAUGAGACUAAUCAUGGCGUGAGCUAUAUGUGAAAUAUGUCUUUUGGCUUGUGAUGUGCAGUGCAGGUGUUGAGUGUUGAGAUAGUCGACGACAAUAGAAAAGGUCAAGUAAGAGUCUAUGCACACUAGGACCGAUGAAGGGUGGACGUGAAGGCUUGGCCAGAGAACUAAGGGUCAUAGGAUGAACCAUGGAUGAAUAGCACUUGGACAUGUUGACAAGCAAGCUAUUGUGCAUGUGAGGAUGGUGAUGAAGACGGUGUUGACCGAAGUCAAGAUGACAGUUGGACGAAGUCAACGCGAAUGCACGACCACUUGGUGAUCCGACGGUCAAGCACAAGCGAGACACGCAUCGACAUCAUGGACAAGGCGUAUCGCGAUCCAAGGGUUUGGCGGUUUGGGCCUCAAAACCGCUAGCGGUACGGUUUGCCGAAUUUGGAACUCAAAACCCCGGAGGAGGAUCUUAGAGUGGCUCAUGGCAUCAUUGGAAAGUUUGCGUUGAGGCAAAGUGACUUCAUGAAGACGUGAAGGGCGCGUGGCCACCGAUGCAUGAAAUCCAUGUUUUACCAUUUUGCCCCCACAGCUAAGUGGUUCAUGGCAAAUACUUAGGGAUAGUGUUGGAAUAUGUAAUAGCCUUAAAAAUAAGAAUAGUGGCUGCCCAAAACAGCCAUCUCUCCCACCUAAGUUCAUUUCCUUAGGCUAAACCAAGUAUAUCUUCCUUAGAGAAGAUUAGAAGUAGAGAGUGUGAGCAUAUCUUGCUCUAGAUUUCCACUUUCUAGAGGAGGAUGAAGAGAGGAGUCUAGACUUAAUCUUAUAAAGAUUUUUUCUUGAUGAAUCAAUCAAGUUGUCUUCUAAACUUUUGAGUUCAUCUUUUUAAUAUCUCUUUCUCCUAUUUUGGUUGAUUUUUGUGAUCCUUGUCGGAGUUCUUUGAUCUAAGGUUUUGGGGACAAUUCUGAGUUGAUCUUAUGGUGCUUUGACCCCCUAAGAACACUCCUAGCCACUGGUUCAAUCAGUUUUAGCACGACCACCAAGAAAUCAACUUUGUUUGAAACUAAAGCUUUGAUAUUUUGGAGUUUAAACUUUGCAAUGAUAUUUACUUCCUCAUAGAGAAGGUGUGUGCAAAAUUUCAAAUCAAUUGGACUUUGUUUGAUCGAGUUUUGCAUUUUUCUUCCUUGGUUUGGGCCGUAGAAAUUGCUUGACCAUGUUGUAGAACCGGUAUAGCCGAAUUUCACACAUGGUGUGUCUAGCCGUGUUGUAGAACCAGCCUGGCCGGAUUUCAUAGACUGUGGUGUGUUUGUCUCGGUCUCGUUUUUUACUCGUAUUGCUUCCGUGUUAUUUCUCUAGAUCAUCUUGACAUUUAUUGGCUUGUGUGAUCUAUGGUGUGUUUGUCUCGGUCUCGUUUUUUGCUCGUAUUGCUUCCGUGUUAUUUCUCUAACAUCUAUGAGCUUCUCUUGUGUGAUCUAUGGUUGAGGUAAGAAAGCACUCAAGGUUGGAUUUUUGGGAUAUAGGCAAGUUGGUUGAGGUAAGAAAGCACUCAAGGUUGAUUUUUGGGAUAUAGGCAAGUUGAUAUAGGCAAGUCGCGCAUUUUUUUGCGUAAAAUCGCACGCUACGUGUUGCUAGUGGGAUUCGAACCUGAGACCUCGCCCUCGUGCGUAACCUCAUCUACCGCUCCACCUAUAAGUCAGAUGUGUCUAUACUAGAGUUUAGUUCCCCACAUAUUAUCCUAAAUUGAGCAUACAUUGAUUAUUUGAGGCCCUAAACAUAUUCAAAUGGAAAAGUUGCCAACUACAAAGUUUUAUAACUUUUCAAGAUCUACAACUUUUAUAUUGGUAGUUUCUCCAUCCGAGGUCAUUUACAAAAUUUGAAUUUCAAAUUUGAGAAAUUCAAACGUUGUUUUCGACGACAAGAUGAUCUCAAAUGAAAAAAUUAUUAACUACAAAAUUUCAUAACUUUUCAAGAUCUACAACUUUCAUUUUGACAGUUUUUUCAAACGAGGUCAUUUGAAAAGCUCAAAAAAUUCAAUUUUAAAUUAUUUUUACAGGCGGUUUUCUUAAAUAACCGCCUGUAGAUAUAUGAUUUUUAGUGGUGGUUCCUUAUGACAACCGUUUGUAGAAAUGCAUGAUUUCUACAGGCAGUUUUCUUAAGCAACCGCCUGUAGAAAUACGAAUUUUAGUGACGGUUCCUUAAAAAAACCGCCUGUAAAAAUCCAUAAUUUCUACUGGCGGUUUUGUUAGAAAAACCGCCUGACACCGUCUUUUUUAUACCACAGGCGCGUGAUAACUAAAACCGUCUGUGGUAUAAAAAGGAGGCGUUGGCGUUAUAUUAUUUUCUACUAGUGUACGUGUAUGGUGUAAUAAAAAAAAUAGAGUACUUUUUUUUUUGUUACCACGACAGCUGCAAACGCUGAGCGGUGAGCGCGUGCGCUCUAUUAAUUACUGGUAGCAAGAAUACGCCUACCAUGUUCAAAGCAACCGGGCCUGAACUUCCUCUUUUUUUCCCCUUUGUACCAACAAGUCCUUCGAGUAAAACAGUAAAGUGAGACCAAGUGAACAGACUGAGAUUUUAAUUUGUUCCAAAUGUUCCCAAGUAUUCUGCUAGGGAAGGUGUUGCCAUCAACCAUCAUGAGUGUCACCUACCUCAGACCUCAGUGACCUGACGAAACAAUCAUAUAUAUAUAUACUAGCUCAUGCCGACUUCGCGAUGUAUUUUACAGUAAACGUUUGCUCGGGUUUUGGACGAACUCAAACUAAUAAAACAAACUUGUGGGCACUGGGCAGGUAUAUCCUCGAGAAAAUUAAAAGAAACCAACAGCCCAGUUACGUUGAUAAGCCAACCAUAUAUAAGCAGUGCAGGUGAGCUAAGCAAUAUAUAUUCUCCGGACCAGCCAAUGGCCUAAGCAGUGCAGGUGAGAUAAUCAGUGUAGUCUUGUCGAUCGAGUUGACUUCCAGAGCUGCAUGCCACCGAUAUAUGGAGCGCAUAGAAUUGAGCAGUGAUUAUGCACAGAGAGUUCAGUUCCAGCAGCAGCAGCAGAACCUCUUAUUAUCAGGACAAGCAAAUUAAAUCUAUCCAAGGGUGUCAUUGCCAUCACUCAUCAGCUCACCAAUGUCUAAUAAGGUUAAUUUGUGUGGCCACAUUUGUUUCUCCCGACGAUGUUGAUUCUGAAUUUCUGAUCACGAACCAUUUGUGCUGUCCAUUACUUGCAUCUUGCAGAAGAUAGUGGUCAAAGCUGACCUCGUCGGCAAGACAUGCAUGAGGGAUAUCCUGUCAGUUGCUGCGACGCUCCAAGGUACUACCACCCAUCCAUCUAUCUGUCUACCAAAGCAAUGCAAUGUACCAUCAUGCAGAUGCAUGCCUUCCAAGUUUCAACAAAUUUAAAACUAGCCUUGCACUGAAUGUCUGCUGCAGGGAUCAAGUCGAUGGACGUUGACGCCGAGAAGUGCACGCUGACGGUGGUCGGCACCGUCGACCCGGUGCGCAUCGCGCAGAAGCUCAAGAAGAAGUGCUUCUCCGUGAACAUCAUCAGCGUCGAAGACGACAAGCCCAAGCCCAAGCCCCCGGAACCGGAGAAGAAGAAGCCGCAGGACCCCUGCAAGGACGUGUGCGAGAACAAGUGCGACAAGAUCACCUGCUGCAAGGAGUGCAAGGAC
Molecule: long non-coding RNA, 4955 nt
Filed under: Sorghum bicolor (sorghum)
Lineage: Eukaryota; Viridiplantae; Streptophyta; Magnoliopsida; Poales; Poaceae
Description: long non-coding RNA (SBIC_LNC004173)
Source: RNAcentral